RNAcentral lists this ribosomal RNA (579 nucleotides) under Hydnotrya sp. GB397. RNAcentral describes it as "eukaryotic LSU rRNA". It matches the Rfam family "Eukaryotic large subunit ribosomal RNA", at positions 13 to 595 of the family's 3401-position model. Lineage: Eukaryota; Fungi; Ascomycota; Pezizomycetes; Pezizales; Discinaceae. The record is from RNAcentral.
AGGUAGGGAUACCCGCUGAACUUAAGCAUAUCAAUAAGCGGAGGAAAAGAAACCAACAGGGAUUGCCUCAGUAACGGCGAGUGAAGCGGCAACAGCUCAAAUUUUAAAGCUGGCGCCUCUGGCGCCUGCAUUGUAAUUUGGAGAGGCACCUUCGGUUAGGGCGCUAGCCUAUGUUCCUUGGAACAGGACGUCACAGAGGGUGAGAAUCCCGUGCUUGGCUGGCUGUCCCUUUCCAUGUGAAGCGCCUUCGACGAGUCGAGUUGUUUGGGAAUGCAGCUCAAAAUGGGUGGUAAAUUCCAUCUAAAGCUAAAUAUUGGUGGGAGACCGAUAGCGCACAAGUAGAGUGAUCGAAAGAUGAAAAGCACUUUGAAAAUAGAGUUAAAAAGUACGUGAAAUUGUUGAAAGGGAAGCGCUUGAGACCAGACUCGGCCCCAGGUGAUCAGCCAUCCUUCUGGGUGGUGCAUUUGCCUUCGGUCGGGCCAGCAUCGGUUGAGACGGCGGGACAAAGGUCUUGGGAAUGUGGCUCCUCUCGGGGAGUGUUAUAGCCUGGGAUGCAAUGCCGUCAGACUGACCGAGGAC